AUCAUCUGGGGAUCUUGUUAAACUGCAGCUUCUGAGUUGGCAGGUCUGGGCUGGGGCCUGCGGUCCUGCAUUUCUAACAAGUUCCCAGGUCAU
This 93-nucleotide microRNA precursor is filed under the name Pteropus vampyrus (large flying fox). RNAcentral's name for it is "miRNA (ENSPVAG00000029644.1)". Lineage: Eukaryota; Metazoa; Chordata; Mammalia; Chiroptera; Pteropodidae. The record is from RNAcentral.